This 344-nucleotide unclassified non-coding RNA is filed under the name soil metagenome. RNAcentral's name for it is "partial contains 5.8S ribosomal RNA, internal transcribed spacer 2, and large subunit ribosomal RNA". The stretch from base 4 to 120 matches the Rfam family "5.8S ribosomal RNA", at positions 39 to 154 of the family's 154-position model. The record is from RNAcentral.
GAUAAGAACGUAGCGAAAUGCGAUAAGUAAUGCGAAUUGCAGAAUUUCCGUGAGUCAUCGAAUCUUUGAACGCACAUUGCGCCCACUGGUAUUCCGGUGGGCAUGCCUGUUCGAGCGUCAUUAUCCUCCCUCAAACCCCGGGUUUGGUGUUGGACCCAAGUUGUGUGAACAACUGGUCUUAAAGACAAUGACGGCGUCCGUGGGACCCUCGGUGCAACGAGCUUUUAGGAGCACGCAUCGAGUUGCAAGGACCUUCCGGGCCGGUCUCCUUUACUAUUUUACAAGGUUGACCUCGGAUCAGGUAGGAAUACCCGCUGAACUUAAGCAUAUCAAUAAGCGGAGGA